GACGAACGCUGGCGGCGUGCUUAACACAUGCAAGUCGAACGGAAAGGCCCUGCUUUUGUGGGGUGCUCGAUUGGCGAACGGGUGAGUAACACGUGAGUAACCUGCCCUUGACUUUGGGAUAACUUCAGGAAACUAGGGCUAAUACAGGAUAGGAGCUCCUGCUGCAUGGUGGGGGUGGGAAAGUUUCGGCGGUUGGGGAUGGACUCGCGGCUUAUCAGCUUGUUGGUGGGGUAGUGGCUUACCAAGGCUUUGACGGGUAGCCGGCCUGAGAGGGUGACCGGCCACAUUGGGACUGAGAGACGGCCCAGACUCCUACGGGAGGCAGCAGUGGGGAAUAUUGCACAAUGGGCGGAAGCCUGAUGCAGCAACGCCGCGUGCGGGAUGACGGCCUUCGGGUUGUAAACCGCUUUCGCCUGUGACGAAGCGUGAGUGACGGUAAUGGGUAAAGAAGCACCGGCUAACUACGUG
This 468-nucleotide ribosomal RNA is filed under the name uncultured bacterium. RNAcentral describes it as "partial 16S ribosomal RNA". It matches the Rfam family "Bacterial small subunit ribosomal RNA", at positions 28 to 507 of the family's 1533-position model. The record is from RNAcentral.